Molecule: ribosomal RNA, 429 nt
Filed under: Chloroflexota bacterium
Lineage: Bacteria; Bacillati; Chloroflexota
Description: Chloroflexi bacterium partial 16S ribosomal RNA
Rfam family: Bacterial small subunit ribosomal RNA
Source: RNAcentral
UGGGGAAUAUUGCACAAUGGGCGCAAGCCUGAUGCAGCCAUGCCGCGUGUGUGAAGAAGGCCUUCGGGUUGUAAAGCACUUUCAGCGGGGAGGAAGGCGAUAAGGUUAAUAACCUCAUCGAUUGACGUUACCCGCAGAAGAAGCACCGGCUAACUCCGUGCCAGCAGCCGCGGUAAUACGGAGGGUGCAAGCGUUAAUCGGAAUUACUGGGCGUAAAGCGCACGCAGGCGGUCUGUCAAGUCGGAUGUGAAAUCCCCGGGCUCAACCUGGGAACUGCAUUCGAAACUGGCAGGCUAGAGUCUUGUAGAGGGGGGUAGAAUUCCAGGUGUAGCGGAGAAAUGCGUAGAGAUCUGGAGGAAUACCGGUGGCGAAGGCGGCCCCCUGGACAAAGACUGACGCUCAGGUGCGAAAGCGUGGGGAGCAAACAGG